RNAcentral lists this ribosomal RNA (394 nucleotides) under uncultured soil bacterium. RNAcentral describes it as "bacterial SSU rRNA". It matches the Rfam family "Bacterial small subunit ribosomal RNA", at positions 26 to 422 of the family's 1533-position model. The record is from RNAcentral.
AGAUUGAACGCUGGCGGCAGGCCUAACACAUGCAAGUCGAGCGGUAGAGAGGUGCUUGCAUCUCUUGAGAGCGGCGGACGGGUGAGUAAUGCCUAGGAAUCUGCCUAGUGGUGGGGGAUAACGUUCGGAAACGGACGCUAAUACCGCAUACGUCCUACGGGAGAAAGCGGGGGACCUUCGGGCCUCGCGCCAUUAGAUGAGCCUAGGUCGGAUUAGCUAGUUGGUGAGGUAAUGGCUCACCAAGGCGACGAUCCGUAACUGGUCUGAGAGGAUGAUCAGUCACACUGGAACUGAGACGCGGUCCAGACUCCUACGGGAGCAGCAGUGGGGAAUAUUGGACAAGUGGGCGAAAGCCUGAUCCAGCCAUGCCGCGUGUGUGAAGAAGGUCUUCGGA